GACGAGGGGUCCUAGCGUUGUUCGGAAUCAUUGGGCGUAAAGCGCGUGUAGGCGGCUUUCUCAGUCCGGUGUGAAAGCCCUGGGCUCAACCCCGGAAGUGCAUUCGAUACUGUUUAGCUUGAGUGUGGGAGAGGUUACUAGAAUUGUUGGUGUAGUGGUGAAAUACGUAGAUAUCGGGAGGAACACCAAUGGCGAAGGCAGCUCGCUGGGACGUGACUGACGCUGAGACGCGAAAGCGUGGGGAGCAAACAGG
Molecule: ribosomal RNA, 253 nt
Filed under: uncultured bacterium
Lineage: Bacteria
Description: partial 16S ribosomal RNA
Rfam family: Bacterial small subunit ribosomal RNA
Source: RNAcentral